RNAcentral lists this ribosomal RNA (497 nucleotides) under uncultured bacterium. RNAcentral describes it as "partial 16S ribosomal RNA". It matches the Rfam family "Bacterial small subunit ribosomal RNA", at positions 28 to 507 of the family's 1533-position model. The record is from RNAcentral.
GAUGAACGCUGGCGGCGUGCCUAAUACAUGCAAGUCGAGCGAACGGACGAGAAGCUUGCUUCUAUGAUGUUAGCGGCGGACGGGUGAGUAACACGUGGAUAACCUACCUUUAAGACUGGGAUAACUUCGGGAAACCGUAGCUAAUACCGGAUAAAAACUUGAACCGCAAGGUUUAAAAGUGAAAGACGCUCUUGCAUCCACCAAAAGAUGGAUCCGCUCUGCAUUAGCUAGUUGGUAAGGAAACGGCUUACCAAGGCAACGAUGCAUAGCCGACCUGAGAGGGUGAUCGGCCACACUGGAACUGAGACACGGUCCAGACUCCUACGGGAGGCAGCAGUAGGGAAUCUUCCGCAAUGGGCGAAAGCCUGACGGAGCAACGCCGCGUGAGUGAUGAAGUUCUUCGGAUCGUAAAACUCUGUUAUUAGGGAAGAACAUAUGUGUAAGUAACUGUGCACAUCUUGACGGUACCUAAUCAGAAAGCCACGGCUAACUACGUG